UCCCUGGAGGUCCGGUGGUUAAGGCUCUGUGCUUCCAACACAAUGGACUUGGGUUCAAUCCCUGACUGGGGAA
Molecule: transfer RNA, 73 nt
Organism: Ovis aries (sheep)
Lineage: Eukaryota; Metazoa; Chordata; Mammalia; Artiodactyla; Bovidae
Rfam family: tRNA
About the family: Transfer RNA (tRNA) molecules are approximately 80 nucleotides in length. Their secondary structure includes four short double-helical elements and three loops (D, anti-codon, and T loops).
Source: Rfam